Molecule: long non-coding RNA, 704 nt
Filed under: Struthio camelus australis
Lineage: Eukaryota; Metazoa; Chordata; Aves; Struthioniformes; Struthionidae
Description: lncRNA (ENSSCUG00000002704.1)
Source: RNAcentral
CUGUAGCAGACCUCUGUGGAAUAAGCUCUCAGUGAGUGAUGCAGCCUAAAUGCAUUAAAUGUUUGGAGGAGAGGAAGCAGGAGGAAGUCUGGAAACCUGCACAGAGCCAGCGCACAGGUGGCGUUAAUGCAAGAGCCCAUGAGCACGGGCUGGAAGGGAGGCAGGAACCUGAAAGUGGAAGUGCUGCUAACCUUUAGAGAUGAAAACUUUUUGGAGUCCUAGGAGAGAAGCAAAGUGAACUGAUUUCAAAAUCUGAAUGAGCUUGGGAAAGAUUUGUCACUGUUCAUCCAGCUCUUGAUGUGAACCAGGGUGACAGUCGGUGCUGUUGGUGGGGUCAUGAGGGAAGGUCCCAGCUGCUGACCCUUGCUGCGCUUGGUCUUUCAGUGCAGAGCAGCUCCUGAGCACAGAUGCUGGAGGAGUGCACCCAACCACUACUUGCUGCUCUGUCCAUGGGACCAACUAGAGCUACAUGACCAUAAAACAGCCAAAAUAGGUACUGGGCUCUCAGCACAGCUGGUUCACUCCAUUGAUCUGCUUCUGUUGAGUUGCAAUGCUCGCUAAUGGAAUUGUAGUCAAAAUCUAUUUGGGAUACCGAUGCUAGGUAUGUUUUAUGCACUGCUAAGUCAUGACAAAUAACGUGAGAUCUUACGUCAUACUUGUGUGUCUGACCCAGACUAGGUCUUUGGUUUCUUCAAACAGAUAUG